GCCCUGAUCGCUUAGUUGGUUAAAGCGAAGGUCUCAUAAUCCUUAGCCCGCAGUUCGAAUCUGCGUCGGGGCA
This 73-nucleotide transfer RNA is filed under the name Kwoniella bestiolae CBS 10118. RNAcentral describes it as "tRNA-Met (CAT) (tRNA-Met-CAT-1-1)". It matches the Rfam family "tRNA". Rfam says of the family: Transfer RNA (tRNA) molecules are approximately 80 nucleotides in length. Their secondary structure includes four short double-helical elements and three loops (D, anti-codon, and T loops). Lineage: Eukaryota; Fungi; Basidiomycota; Tremellomycetes; Tremellales; Cryptococcaceae. The record is from RNAcentral.